Long non-coding RNA from Astatotilapia calliptera (eastern happy), 4154 nucleotides. The record is from Ensembl. NCBI's taxonomy places the organism in Eukaryota, Metazoa, Chordata, Actinopteri, Cichliformes, Cichlidae.
UUCUGUGGUGCACACCAGUCUCUGGUGGCUUUCUGCAAGCAGGUUUAUUACAAAGUAAUGUUACAGUAACAAUUUCAGCUCUACCGAAAUUAACCAUACAUUGACAUGGGUGCACAGAGAAUGUCUACAUGAAGUGGUACCUCUUCGAGGUCAGAGUACUCAUUUGCUGUGAGGUGGUUAAACAAAAGACGGGCUGCAGCUGCUGACAAACGGGUACAUAAAAGCAUCAUGGUUACGAGGUUUUUGCUACUUGUCUUAAAUAGGGGUUUUCGAAGGCUUCUGCAGUGCUUAGUGGGGUUUAUUGUAAUAUAUUGCAUUGCCCUUUAAAUGCAUGUUGGCAGUAUAACAUAGCACUUAAAUAGAUAAUCGCAGUGUGUCAAACGGUACCAUAAUGCACCAUCUACUCCAAAUAAAAGCAUACAUAAAUAAUAGUACAUUCAGUAACUCUUAGAGCACUAUCCUGCAUCUUUGCCCUUCAUUAGUGUAGAAAUGUUAGUUCGGCUUGAUCAUUCCCAGAUUUUCUAGUGUUCAUCAAUCCUCUUCGGGAUUUGCAUAAAUAAAAAUAAAGUACAAUAAAAACAAUUUGACAUAUUUUCACAAAAAAUAAAAUACAUUAAAAACAAAUACACAAGGCCAUUGACUUUCCAUUCUCACAAAAUAUUAAACCAUAUUGCCUCUUAACAGAAUAUUUUACAUCUUUGCAAGAAUUUAAAUAACACGUGACACAUUUGCAGUCUUUUUUACUUUUUUUUCUUUAAGUUACACAUCUCCAGUGUCCAUUAUGUGUUUAGGGUGCAAAUAGCUCCUGGGUUUGUUGUUUGUUUGUUUUCAAGGCCACUGUCUAUCGCUUCAAUCCCUUGGCCAGUUUGCUUGUAGGGGUCAUUCUUCUUUGAGGUGUGGGGAUCUUAGAGGGUUUCCCUCCGUGUUGACGGGACGCGGAGCGCGGCGUCGCUCUGGCAGAGUCGCCGACCGUCUCGGAAACAUCUGAGCACACGGAUUGGAUGUCUGAGAUGUCGAAGUCGGAGGCGUCACUUCCUCUGCGACUGCUUCCUCUGCUUCCGGCUUUACUUCCUGGUCGGCUGGAAUUUUUUCUCGAUUCUAGAGAGAUAAAAUCGGGAAACACUUUAAGAAACACUGAAAAGGAAUUCAAAUUUACAUGUGAAUGCGAUGGAUAGAUGUGGAGAAAAAGUUGCAAAGAUGAUGCUUUCUACUCACCACCUAUUGCCUGCGUUCGAGCUUUUAGUACAGCAGCACUGAUCAAGCUCCCUUCUUCACCUGACUGAAAUCCUUUGCCGGACAGGUACCCAGGCAAACGCAAUUUGCUGCCUUGAACCGCAUUACUCUGCGAAAGAAACAAACUUUUAUUAAAAUGUAAUCAGAUGCAAUUAUUAGUAAAAAAAAAUAGAAGACCAAAUUUUUAAAAAUAAAAGUCUUGAGUAUGUAUAUGUAAUAAAAAUUAGUCUUAAUUCUUAUUUAAAAAAACAAAAACAUUUUAGUAAAAUCAUAAUUUUUCCCAUAACUGAGGUGUAUCUGUCAGAUGCAGUUAGUAUGAAUUCAUGUACAGCAGAGCAAUACGUCAUUAGACAUUAAUGACAUGCAGAGGCGACAUAUGAAGUUGUACAUGAUGUAGUGGUAUAAAAAAUAAAGGUUAGGAAAGAAAAGAGCUAGUGAUUGAGCCAAUUAUUCAAGAAAAAUAAAGGUUACAAACCCAAAUAAAAUCUAAUAAGCUCAUUUUGCAUCUUCAAAUCCAAUGAAGUCAGAAAUAAAUCUACAAAAAGGCACUUUUUGCUUCUUCUUUUUUUUUUUUUUUUUUUUUAAAGAUUUUUCAAUAGAUUUCAGUUGGGUCAUAUAUCUGAAGUGUUUCACAUCAUGUGCUGCAUUAUGACUAUACCUCUGAGGAUGAACCUUGGCUCCCAAAGGAGUCUGAUGAUUUAAGAGGAGUGGAGGGUUUGCUGUUUGUAAGCCAUGGUUUAUCAUAAUUGCGGGUUAUGUGUUGGGGAUUCUGGGGAACAACGGCAAAUCAAAAGACAGAGAAAUGGAUUCACAAACUCAAAAACUAUCAGGAACACUAGAUGGAAGAAACACAGAAAUCAAACAACAAAAUGACCAAAUUCUGCAAGGGUAAUUAAAAAAAACAAAAACAAAUUAAAAAGCAGAUAAAUGAGAGGAAAAUCAUGAUGGUGGUGGAGAGGUUGGGGGUGAGACAGAAUGAGGCAGCAGCCAGCUCUAAUGGCAGAUGUAGCCUCUCACCUUGGGUGUGCUGGUCGCUGCUGGGUUGAUGGGGACGGGGAGGCUCUGACUGGAGGUGGAUCUGUUGGGAGAAGCUCCUCGAGAUGAAGGCCGAGACCUCCGGCCUCUGUAGCGGAAGCUUGCCAUCACUUGAGUGGUUCCCUCUGGGAGGAUGAACUUCUCUCGCAGCUCCACAUUGGUCCUGCCUUUAGCUAAGAAAGACACUCAAAAUGAGCCAUGAUGCACAAAUACACCUGUCACUGUUAUUUUUGUGUUAAUGGUGAUUAAGAUGAUGGUGAGUUAACAACCCACCCCCUCAUUUCUUUAUAUUGUGCCAGAAAAAUGGGAAAGAGAUGCCGAGAUUUAUUAAAACAUGCAGACUGAGAGUAAAUGGGAAAACAGUAUAUGAGGCGAAGUCUGAACAAUUCUAAUGAGCUUUUAUUCUUCAGCACAGUUUGAACUCUCUUAUGAAAGGCUUCUUAUAGUUUCUGAUACUUAGUAGUCUUCAGGAAUAGCUCUCCAAUCUUACUGAAGGAUAUUCAAAUUUCUUUUUUAGAUGUUGGCUGCAUUUUGUUGCACAAUAAUAAUGUUGAGCUUCAGGCUCAAGGGAGCCCAAUCCAUGACAGACAGUGUUUCACUGUGAGCUCAGGAUCACUGUCAUCCUGUUAAAUGACGCUGUUGUCAGUCAGAUCCUCUCCAGAUGGUAUUGUAUGUAUGUGGAUCCAAAUCUAAUGGUAGUUUUUUCUGUUCAUGAUUCCAACAAUUUUGACAAGAUCCCCGACACCACUGACUCCAAGCUCCAAACCACGACAGAACCCCACUGAGAUUUACAGAUUGCUGCAGACACUUACUGCUGUGUCUGUCCUGACUUCUUCAGUACAUAUUGAUCACUAUUUGAACCAAAAAUUUCAAAUUUAAAUUUAUCACUCCUUAAGACAUGUUGCCACUUAUUUUCAGUACAGUUCUUGCCUAAUUUGGUGCGCAUCAGCCUCUUCUCUGUUCCUUAUUCUUAAAAAUUGCAUCCUGACAGCCACAUGAGUUUUUGCAACAGGCUCUUAGUAACCAAGUACCUAAAUAUACCAUUUAAAACUGGCUCUUUGCUAGAUUGUCUGUUGUGUGUAGAUAACACUGCGUAAAGUGCCUUGAUUUAUGUUUUAAUGAUUCACAGGACGGUGUUAUUCAUCUUAACAAACAAAAAGCAUUCCUCUGAUGCUGGUCAGAAUAAAAAUGAGUGAAAAAGCAGCCAAUGUCCAAAGAAACAUUUUGAAAGACCUCCAGAAACCCAGAAGAACUAUUGCUCAAGACCACUUUCAAAAAUUUACCAAACAUUCUGGAUCCUUCGAUGCAAAAUAUAAAGAAAUGAGGGGUGGCUCCAGACUUGUGCAUGUCUUGUCGUGCACAACACUGCAUGCUAAGCUGUAUUCCCGGCUGUGUAGAAAUCUGUUGCUUCUAACGGUAAUAUCAUGAAUUGGAAAUUUACCAAUGUAUUUUUCUUAUAAUCAUCACUGAACUACACAGCAAUUUCCAGGCGACCCCAAAGAACAGACCAAUGAAAUGUUAUCAUGAUGUGACUCAACAACAAAACAGCUCAUGCAGUUUCAUAUCUCAUCCAUACUGUUGAACAGACGUCCAGUUCCUGUUGCAACGGUAGUGGAAUAAGUGACAGCGAGAAAACUAAAAUAAAUCAAAGUGAGUCUAAACACUCUCACAAACCAAAGAAGAAGAAUUAUAGGAAACUAAACUACAGUGUAUAAACUAAACAGUACGGUUACAUUGAAAACAAACAGACCUGCAUGCAGUUUUAAACACUAAGCCACCCUGUCAAACAAAGUAAAUGGUGUAAGAAAUACUGCUUCGGUUUUGUGGCGUGUGUUUCAUAGAGGCAAUGUAACCAUUUUCCCCUAUGAAGGAGCCUAUACUACCAG